CAGGCCUAACACAUGCAAGUCGAACGAAGUAGCAAUACUUAGUGGCAGACGGGUGAGUAACAUGUGGGUAUCUACCCUUUGGCCUGGAAUAACACGAGGAAACUUGUGCUAAUACCGGAUAAGUCUUUACGGAGAAAGCUUUAUGCACCAUUGGAUGAGCCCGCACUUGAUUAGUUUGUUGGUAGGGUAAUGGCCUACCAAGACUGUGAUCAAUAGCUGAUUUGAGAGGAUGAUCAGCCACAUUGGGACUGAGACACGGCCCAAACUCCUACGGGAGGCAGCAGUGGGGAAUCUUGCACAAUGGAGGAAACUCUGAUGCAGCGAUGCCGCGUGAGUGAAGAAGGCCCUUGGGUUGUAAAGCUCUUUCGUCGGGGAAGAAAAUGACUGUACCCGAAUAAGAAGGUCCGGCUAACUUCGUGCCAGCAGCCGCGGUAAUACGAAGGGACCUAGCGUAGUUCGGAAUUACUGGGCUUAAAGAGUUCGUAGGUGGUUGAAAAAGUUGGUGGUGAAAUCCCAGAGCUUAACUCUGGAACUGCCAUCAAAACUUUUCAGCUAGAGUUUGAUAGAGGAAAGCAGAAUUUCUAGUGUAGAGGUGAAAUUCGUAGAUAUUAGAAAGAAUACCAAUUGCGAAAGCAGCUUUCUGGAUCAU
Molecule: ribosomal RNA, 649 nt
Filed under: uncultured bacterium
Lineage: Bacteria
Description: bacterial SSU rRNA
Rfam family: Bacterial small subunit ribosomal RNA
Source: RNAcentral